CCUACGGGUGGCAGCAGUGAGGAAUAUUGGUCAAUGGACGGAAGUCUGAACCAGCCAUGCCGCGUGCAGGAAGACGGCUCUAUGAGUUGUAAACUGCUUUUGUACAAGGGUAAACCUGAAUACGUGUAUUCAGCUGAAAGUACUGUACGAAUAAGGAUCGGCUAACUCCGUGCCAGCAGCCGCGGUAAUACGGAGGAUCCAAGCGUUAUCCGGAUUUAUUGGGUUUAAAGGGUGCGUAGGCGGUUUGAUAAGUUAGCGGGGAAAUGUCCGAGCUUAACUCGGGAACUGCCUCUAAUACUGUUGAUCUAGAGAGGAAGUGCGGUAGGCGGAAUGUAUGGUGUAGCGGUGAAAUGCUUAGAGAUCAGACAGAACACCGAUUGCGAAGGCAGCUUACCAGUCUAUAUCUGACGUGGAGGCACGAAAGCGUGGGGAGCAAACAGGAUUAGAUACCCGUGUAGUC
This 460-nucleotide ribosomal RNA is filed under the name uncultured bacterium. Its description in RNAcentral is "partial 16S ribosomal RNA". It matches the Rfam family "Bacterial small subunit ribosomal RNA", at positions 338 to 795 of the family's 1533-position model. The record is from RNAcentral.